This 253-nucleotide ribosomal RNA is filed under the name uncultured Halomonas sp. Its description in RNAcentral is "partial 16S ribosomal RNA". It matches the Rfam family "Bacterial small subunit ribosomal RNA", at positions 524 to 776 of the family's 1533-position model. The record is from RNAcentral. Lineage: Bacteria; Pseudomonadati; Pseudomonadota; Gammaproteobacteria; Oceanospirillales; Halomonadaceae.
UACGGAGGGUGCAAGCGUUAAUCGGAAUUACUGGGCGUAAAGCGCGCGUAGGUGGCGUGAUAAGCCGGUUGUGAAAGCCCCGGGCUCAACCUGGGAACGGCAUCCGGAACUGUCAGGCUAGAGUGCAGGAGAGGAAGGUAGAAUUCCCGGUGUAGCGGUGAAAUGCGUAGAGAUCGGGAGGAAUACCAGUGGCGAAGGCGGCCUUCUGGACUGACACUGACACUGAGGUGCGAAAGCGUGGGUAGCAAACAGG